Paralichthys olivaceus (Japanese flounder) is the source of this 662-nucleotide long non-coding RNA. RefSeq lists it as uncharacterized. Lineage: Eukaryota; Metazoa; Chordata; Actinopteri; Pleuronectiformes; Paralichthyidae. The record is from RefSeq and is a predicted model, not a curated record.
GGACGGGCCCAUGUGCAGUCUUUCGUCGAGGCCGCACGAUCCUGACUGACGCAAAGGCAUACCGAGAGGAAGUCCGAACAAACAAGCUCUCCCCAGAGAGAACUAGAGACGAUAAAAUGAACCUUCACUACGAGUCUGCACAGCUCAUGACUGAGUGUCGAAGGAACUUUUGCAGAACCACUUGGAGGGACGAAUGAAGAUCAAGAAUGAUUGAUGCAGAGGUCAACUGGGGCCUCCUCAGAGCUCUGAGGGGAACAUCUUUGUUCCCUUGACCCGGACCUGUGUUCUUCUUUGGAACAAGAAUAAAGUCUGUGGCCAUGAACUGAUGGUGUCUACAUGAGGGGGACUAGAUGGUGCCUCCUCUAGCUCAUCCUCGAACACAUUGCGAGGAGGUGAAGUGACCGUUGUGCAGCUGUUUAACUGAGGCAGCUCAAGCUAGAUGACACCCUGGCACUAAAACUGGACCAGGCGCUGCACCAGUGAGGUUAAACUGCCACAAGUGUCAAUACUGGUCGACAAAAGGUCAUCCAGGAAAUGGAGCUGGCCAGUGGGUGUUGUCCUGUAAUGUGUGCACAUGGCUUAUACUGACCUGCAAUAAUGGUUUGAACUGAUGACAUGCAGAUGGAUUUCAUGAAGUUUUAAAUAAAAUAAUUGACAACAGA